Long non-coding RNA from Penaeus monodon (black tiger shrimp), 267 nucleotides. RefSeq lists it as uncharacterized. The record is from RefSeq and is a predicted model, not a curated record. NCBI's taxonomy places the organism in Eukaryota, Metazoa, Arthropoda, Malacostraca, Decapoda, Penaeidae. The transcript has 3 exons.
AAGGAAUCGGACGGGCGGCUGGCCUUGCGCGAUCGCAGCCGAGGCGACGAGUUUGACAGGUUGGCGUCCGGGGCUCGGCCAGCUGAGAGCCUCUCCAGUCCAAGGUGGUGUUUCAUGCCUAAGGAGCUGGAAACGAAAAGUAAAAAGUGAACAAUAAUCUGUGAUUUUUCUAACCUGAAGUUCAAUGACAUUUUGUAACCACUCAUGAAAGAACAGUGGUGUUAUUUCCAUAUGCGCAGAAUAAAGAAGUGGCAAGAUAGAAGCAAU